AUCCCUCUUAGAGCCUUCUGGUGGCCAGAGCUGGCUGAUGGAGAAGAGGCUUGAGUUCUGGAUUUGGCACAGCCAGCCAGCAGCUUUCUUGGGCAAGAGCUCCAGGACUUCCUACAAGAGAAACCUGGGGGAGCUGAUGAGAGAGGCUCCUCACCUACAUCCCCUGUGAAAGGCUGGACUCCGCGUGAAGACAGAAGGUGCCCAGUGCCACAGAGAUGUUGCCAGUUUCCCUCCUGCAGCCCAAGAACUGCUGGUGGAUGAUCACAGUCUGCGAGUAUGAUGGGAACAUCACUUAUCCAGGUGCUGACAGGAGAAUGGUGUUGCAGGAGGUCAAGGACUAGACAGCAAGAAGCUGGUUGUGCCCAGGAACCCUUUGCAGAGAUCUGAUUGCACCAUGAGGUGAACUGAACGGAGGCUCUGAGAAGCUCAAGUAUUGAGGACCAGCCAUGGAGAAAACACACACUAUGGAAGGCUACAGUGAAAACACACAGGGGCUUUCAGCUUAAACAUAGGGAACGUUACCAGUUGAGCUGCAUCGUUCUACAGCUACUCUUGUGUGGCUAUAGAUGGUGUGAAAAUGUACAGAGACACAGAGAAACAGGACCCUGGAGUCAUUCUGCAGAUCACAGCUGCUGACUGCUCCAGAGACUGGGACUUCUGAAGCACCUGGAUUUGUGAUGGUGUCAUAACUACCUUGUUCUGCUGUUGCUUGUGCUGAGACCCGAGUAUGUCACCAAGUAAAAGGUGAAACAAAACCCAACCACCGAACCCCAAACCAAAAAACCUCUCAGGAACAACCCCGGAGCUCUCACCGUUGAUUAAUGUCAUCAGUGCUGUGGGUCAGGCUUGUGUAGCAGCUGCUUAAACAACUGCUGUUUGAGCCACCACCUUAAGGAAGGCAAAAAGGUUAAAGAGAGCAUCUGUCAUUGAUUUUGUGGCCAUCCCAGCCCAAACCAGGACAAAUUGUAACCACUUGGGUUUCUCCUCAGAGGAAGUAGAUUAAGACCAGCCCUAAGAAGUAUUUGGGGACAGGGUUUGUCUGGUUCCUGAGGCUUCUCACAGUUCCUCAUCUGCAGCAAGAGAACUGAGCUCCUUCUGCAGUAACGCGGGUGCCAGGCAUUGUAAAAGCCAAAAAACCCAACUGAUUAGAAGAACUUCCUGCCUCGAUGGGAUUGAACAUCAAAAAAUGGACUGAACACUAAGAAAGGAAAAAAAUGUUGCCUUCUUCCAGGAUGGACAAACAGUUCCAUCCCCACUCUCCAGAUCCAGCGAGCCCAAGGUGUCCCAGCCUGGGUGGACUUGCUCCACAGCGCUGCCCGGGCUGCAGCCCAGCUCUGCUUUCAGCACAUCCAGCACGUGCCGCAUUUUGCCCUAAGGGGAUGAAGGAAGAAGAGGAUGACACCUCCAGCACCAUGACCCCCAUCUGCCCAGAAUUUGGGGCUUCACUCUGAGGAGUGUAGUACCUGUACUCUGACAGGGAAGACUUCGCAGCUGAUAUCAAGGUGCGUGGAGUGAAAGGUUUUCGGCUCCCGGUAAAGAAUUCCGAGUGCCUCUCUAGAAGAUCCCCACUGUACACUUUGGAGCUGCUUCCUUGAUGCCUCUGGGAAUGACUAGUGCUCACAAAACUGUCAGUGGAGCAACUGCACGACAGCCCAGAGCGUUUCCUUGGGGUACUUGAUGGAUUCCGGGAGGUUUUUCUGGUGUAUUUCACCGGAGUGGAGCGCAGCGAGCCCUGCUCGCCGUACGGAGACAGUGAUCCCGACAGGCACUGGGUGUGCCCAGCACAGGGGAAGAGACCAGCUUUGUCUUCUGCUUCCAAGAAACCCUACAAAAA
Molecule: long non-coding RNA, 1834 nt
Organism: Calidris pugnax (ruff)
Lineage: Eukaryota; Metazoa; Chordata; Aves; Charadriiformes; Scolopacidae
Exons: 9
Source: RefSeq, a predicted model, not a curated record